This 465-nucleotide ribosomal RNA is filed under the name uncultured bacterium. RNAcentral describes it as "partial 16S ribosomal RNA". It matches the Rfam family "Bacterial small subunit ribosomal RNA", at positions 28 to 507 of the family's 1533-position model. The record is from RNAcentral.
GACGAACGCUGGCGGCGUGCUUAACACAUGCGAGUCGAACGGAAAGGCCCCUUUGGGGGUACUCGAGUGGCGAACGGGUGAGUAACACGUGAGUAACCUGCCCUUGACUUCGGGAUAACUUCAGGAAACUGGGGCUAAUACCGGAUAGGAAUCCUUGCUGCAUGGUGGGGGUUGGAAAGCUUCGGCGGUUUUGGAUGGACUCGCGGCUUAUCAGCUUGUUGGUGGGGUAGUGGCUUACCAAGGCUUUGACGGGUAGCCGGCCUGGGAGGGCGACCGGCCACAUUGGGACUGAGAUACGGCCCAGACUCCUACGGGAGGCAGCAGUGGGGAAUAUUGCACAAUGGGCGGAAGCCUGAUGCAGCAACGCCGCGUGCGGGAUGACGGCCUUCGGGUUGUAAACCGCUUUCAGCAGGGGCGAAGCUUGUGGUGACGGUACCUGCAGAAGAAGCACCGGCUAACUACGUG